This 1812-nucleotide long non-coding RNA is filed under the name Parus major (Great Tit). RNAcentral's name for it is "lncRNA (ENSPMJG00000009212.1)". Lineage: Eukaryota; Metazoa; Chordata; Aves; Passeriformes; Paridae. The record is from RNAcentral.
AUGCAACCCUGGUGGAAAGGACUGCCCAGCCUUAAAGCUUUUUGCUCUCUAGAGAGAAGUCCAAGACAUGCUGUUUGCAAAACCGAUGUAAAUCUGGAGAAACUGCAGCCAGGGGUGUUGGGUGACCUUUCCCCUGCUGUCACCAAGGGCAGAGUCUGGCCUGCUCCACGUUUCUCAGCGGGAACAUCUCAGUUCCCACAGCCAGUCCCUGGUUAAAGUACCACAAACAGGAAAAUACGAAAACAUGACAACAUCAGACAAACCCCUUUCACAGAUGCACGUCCAGGAGGAAUGUUGCAGGUGUUUAUCAGAAAAAAAGAAAAGAACAACAACAAAAAGGUUGGGGGAUCAGCUGUGUAAAUGAACAUUGAGAGAGCAUCUAAUAUAUUAUUCUGUAAUACAAAAAGAAGAAAUCUGACUUGAUUGCCCUAUUAUAAAUUUGCUAAAAAUACAGAUAUAUAUUUAUAUUUUUAUAUAUAUAUAUAUAAUUUUUUUAAAUCUGAACAGAAAAAUAGACUACUCUGGAAUGCAUGAAAGUCACAUGACUUUUCCAUACAUCAGAUACUUAUAAAGCCAACACAAUGGCAAGCAGGAGGUACAGAGGUAACUAGAACAUCUGUACUUUAUUCAAGAACUAUUUAAAGCCAUAUUCUCCCCAGGUGGAUGAUCCAAAUGAACCCAAGGUAGCACUUGUUGUGUGCAGAAGUGACUGACCAAACAUGGAGGAGCUGGGGCAGGUUUGGAGCCCCAGGGAAGCCCAUCUUGCUGGAGGGCACCGGCACCUCCCGGCCUCCUUUGCUCGACUGCUUCACUCAGGAAUUGCAGGGUUUGCUUUAGAAUGAGUGUUCUGUGGAGCUUACCAACAGAGAGAACGUGGCUUUAGAAACCUUGUCUUUGUGAUGAGUUUUACAUAACCUUGUUAUUUACUAUAAACUGUACCGGUCAUAAUUCCGUCAAGACAUAAAUAUACAGUAGGUACAAAUAUUAACAAUACAUUACAAUUUUACAGAAGAGAAUACUGUUUUCCUUAGAAAUGUGUAUCUUAUUAGCUGCAAGGGAAGAAAAGGCUACAGUUUAUCACAGCCAUAGUUGCCAAACAACCUGACCACCUCAGAUGUGUUUCUCAUGACUUGCCCAGGCAGAUAUUCCCCGGCAUUUGACACACGGCAUGUUCAGGAAGGGAAUGUGCAUUCCAUGGAUUUCUUUUCCUCUCACUUGCUUUUUUUUUUUUUUUCCUCCUUUUCUCUACCUUCUUUUUUUGACUCUCAAACCUUUCAGAAAAAUGUGGAUUCAUAGAAGACUCUUGUUUUGGGUUGGGUUUUUUUCUGUAAGUGUGCUUAGGUGAAGUUUUUAAGGAAAGGCACUGAGAAAUCUACUGCAAAGUCACUGUUUUUUUCCUCUGUUCAAGGCUAAAACUCAAAGAAUCUUUAGCCUUCUGGUUAAGAAAAGUGCACCCUCUCCUUUCACACACACACACACACACACAUAUAUAUAUAUGUAUGUUCUAUAUAUAUAUUUAUAGGUAUGUGUUAAAAGUGAUGUUGAUGGCAUAAGAUACAAGCAAGUGCAGACAUCACACAUCCAGAGAGAGUCCUUUCAGGUAUGAUGUCUUCUGCAGCAGCAGGUGAGGCUCUGUCAGCUUGCUUGCUACUUGGUGCAGAGUAAAUUUGCAGACCUGAAUGCCAAAUAUCAGUGAUUAAACCAUACGCUUUAGCUUGAUGCAAGAGAUGUUGCCUAUUUUCCCCAACCACUAUGAACUUUGGGAAACAUGGAUCAAAUAAACAAAAAUUAAAUUGUCUUUCUAGGAUCUAU